AAAAAAAAAGCAACAACAACCAAAAAACAAAACCACCACACAUUCACAGACACACAAACGUGAUCCUCACCUACCUCUGGUUGGUGCUAUUGGUCACUCACAUUUUAGUAAGAAUGCAAGCCAAGCUUUUCUUUCUUUUUCUUUUUGAGAUGGAGUCUUGCUCUGUUGUCCAGGCUGGAGUGCAAUGGCAUGAUCUCAGCUCACUACAACCUCUGUUUCCCAGGUUCAAGCGAUUCUCCCACCUCAGCCUCCCGAGUAGCUGGGAUUACAGGCAUGUACCACCAUGCCCUGCUAAUUUUUGUAUUUUUAGUAGAGGAGGGGUUUUGCCAUGUUGGCCAGGCUGGUCUCAAACUCCUGACCUCAGGUGAUCCACCCGCCUCAGCCUCCCAAAGUGCUGGGGUUACAGGCGUGAGCCACCGUACCUGGCCGCUAAGCUUUUCUUAAAA
Molecule: long non-coding RNA, 446 nt
Filed under: Homo sapiens (human)
Lineage: Eukaryota; Metazoa; Chordata; Mammalia; Primates; Hominidae
Description: HSALNT0396170
Source: RNAcentral